This 270-nucleotide unclassified non-coding RNA is filed under the name Hevea brasiliensis (rubber tree). Lineage: Eukaryota; Viridiplantae; Streptophyta; Magnoliopsida; Malpighiales; Euphorbiaceae. The record is from RNAcentral.
GCCUUUCCUUCCUUCUCCUUUUUCGAUCUCUUAUGCUCGGAUCGAUGCCUCUUCAAGUUCUCAGGAUCAUCCGAAUCCUCAAGAACAUCUUCAGAUGACUUGGACUUCAUGAAGGAAGGUUUCUCAGGACCAAGAAUUCGACGCUCCCACUCUUCUUUCACCCUCAUCUCAGGAUUUACCGUCGCCUGCCCUGAAGGCCCAGGUGACAUGUAGGGACCAGGUUCAUCCAUCCUCGAACCUAUAGCCCCUCUCCCUCGCUUAGCCCUUGCA